GGAUGAUUUGUGCAAUGGUUUGUGGUUACUGGUUUGUAUUUCGCUUUCUCACUCAGUCGAGAGACCAUGGAUGAAUUGCAAGAAUGAACCAGAUGGGCAUGCUCUUCUUAUAAAUAUGAUGACCAUUGACAAUUAUCUCUUGGCUAUUCCUAUUCUGGUGUAUUCUAGAUGAAGCAGAUUUGAUGAAAAAAUUAUAUCCAGAAUGUGUUGAGACGCAUUAUGGAGAAUCAUUCCGAAGUGCAAGAUUGUUUAUGUUAUGCAAUUAUAAAUUUAUAACAGGAGAUUUAAGCUUCACGGUUCCAGUAUUUCAUCUCUUCAAUAAUUUCCUUUGGACAAAUUAGUAUCCCUAUCUUUCCCCUUCAGUGGCUACUUAUUUAAAGAGCCAAUGCUGGUAGUUAGUUUUGGCUUUGGGAAAGAUCAUGUGCCAUCGCCACCGCACCUAUUGCCAGCGCCUAGCAAGAUUUUGGCGCUUGGCAUACGGAGCACGACCCGCCGCAUUUCCAUGGCAUUGAGACGAGGUGUGUGAGAAUAAUCCAAAGAGGCCGCACUACACAAUUAAUCUAUGUGAUACUUGAAUCUGCAAGCUCUAGGUUGUCAAGGAAGCGAUUGUAAAAACUUGGUGGAUACGGCGCUGCUAGACGAGAGACAGUUAGGAAAGCAGCCCAUUGUCUAAAUUUAAUAAAAGGAGGCUGCUAUGACAGCGGUAUCUCUCUUUUCUAAUUGAACUAUGCAAGCUCAAAUAUUCGUUUUUUGCUACUAGUGAGUUUCUUCAAAGAC
Molecule: long non-coding RNA, 777 nt
Organism: Lolium rigidum
Lineage: Eukaryota; Viridiplantae; Streptophyta; Magnoliopsida; Poales; Poaceae
Exons: 8
Source: RefSeq, a predicted model, not a curated record